CUUCAGCAUGGCAGGAAAAUCCUCGUGGGAGGCUGCGAACGCUUCGAUGCGAUUCUUCACAGAACCAAGAACCUGGGGUGUAGCAAACAGCUGAAGAAGUACCUGAAGCAGUGACUUGACGCUGGGCUGGAAGACCAUGUUGGUGUUGAGCAGGAAGGAACGCAGGAGAGGCUGAGGAUAACAGGCCAGCUGAGCCACGAUGCCCGUGAGCAGGAUGUUGACAUAUAGUCUGUAGAGCACAACAAAUGGAAGAUUUCUCCGCCUGCCACUCCCUUUACCAAGCAUGUCAGAGAAGUACAAUGGCCUCAGGAAACCAAAAAAAAAGAAAACGACCCUGUGCAGUCCAUGUCUGUUCUCUACACCCUUUGUUGGGUAAGCAUUUUUCACACUUAUUAAGGAUUACCUUCAGAGGUUUACUGAUGCUGGUGAUAAAAAGAAUCAGUUACGGUCAAAUGCAGUUGAUUUUUAGGCAAAUUGGCCUUAAAAAUAUGUGCAGCUUUUACAAAUACAAAUGAACGCUAAUUUAUCACUUUGGAGCAGGUUUAUUGGUCAUACUUAUAAAAACUUCUCUUUUGCAUUUGACCAGUAGGCUGAAAUUCACACCAACCAGGGACAGAGGGAGUUUUCCUGGGUCUUAAAACAAGCCCUUUUGUACCUCUGGUACUGGAGCAAUACAAUAGGAAAGACUGUACACAAUAACAUACCAACAGCAGAGAAAGGAGCUCCAACACACCUGAGAACAAGCUGCAGCAUGAUGUCUUCACAGUGCAGGGAGAGCAGGGUCCUGAAGAGACUCAGUGAAACCAUGCAGAGCUGUAACACACAAACAGAUGGAAAGUGCUUUAAAGA
Molecule: long non-coding RNA, 849 nt
Organism: Cynoglossus semilaevis (tongue sole)
Lineage: Eukaryota; Metazoa; Chordata; Actinopteri; Pleuronectiformes; Cynoglossidae
Exons: 4
Source: RefSeq, a predicted model, not a curated record